GAAUUUUUCCACUUCAAGCCUAGCUGAUCCCAUUUCUAAGAUUAAAGAAAGCAGUGAAAGCUCUGAUACCAAUUUGUUGGACCAAGACCAGUAAAUAACUAAUCUCAAUCCCCCAAAAUCCACUCGACUUAGCCUUAAUCAAAGAACUAAUUAAGAUCAACCAAUGCUACGUGGAACUACUUAUCGAAAUCAACAGAUAUCAAACAAAAGAAAACAUAGAAACAAUCUCACACCAACACAAAAGGGUUAAGCGGUUCAGCCACCAAGUGACCUACAUCUACUGUGAAAAAGAGAAAGAGCCUUUACUGAUUUAGUGUUUACAAGAUACAAGAUGCCUGAGAAAACUAUCACACGCUUAGAUAAUACAACAAUGAAAUGAGGACGACUUAUAUACACGCAUGAAUUGCUUUAGAAACAACCCCUAGAAACCAGCUCACCAGGCCUGGAUUUGUUGGUAACAAACCCAGAAAUUUCCCGUUGAUCUUAACAACAUUAACAACCAUUCAAACUGGCUUCAAUACACGUGUAGAAAUUUCACUCAAAACGCAGCCUUCUUCAGUCGUUUAGGAUAAGUAAAGCAUGUGCAAUAUCAUGUGCUUAACUUAUUCAUUUGGCUGAUCCACCAGGCUUGUCAUACGGCUCACUUGUGUCACAUAACCGACAUAUCAUCCAGUCCUGAAACUCAAGACUGAUAUGUCAUAUUCAACUACAAAUUUAGAUUUGCAGUUCACUUCUCAACAAAUUCAUUUGCAAAACCCAGAAUAUUUUUCAUCAAGUAUAAAGUAAACAAAAAAUCAAAUGUUUGCAUGAACUUCAAGGCUGAAUUUGCUUUAAAUCUUUGCUCAGAAUUUGAUGCAUCAUUUGCAAUAAUCUCAAGCACAUUAAUUGUGGAUGAGAACAUGGUAAUAAUGCUUAUUAAUGUACCGUAAUGUGAGCUCCAUCGUGUGUCGCCAGAACGCUUUAAAGUAAUCUCUUGAUUCAUGCCUUGUUCGCUUUGAAGCUCGCCCGUUUUAAGUGCUUCAAUAACUGCAACAAUAUGCUUCUCUUUAAGGAUAUCAAAUCGUUUAGAUAAGGCUGCAACAAUGUUAAUAACUUUAGCAACUAAACUGAACAGAUCAUUAACUUCUUGGUGCUUUUUGCCACAGAAACAAGGGCCAACUAUAAUUGAUGGGCAAAACAAUGAAUGUAAUAAGCUGAUUCAUUCUCUUUUAGAAUGAGUGUUUUCAAACCAUUAAGUUUGCCUUGCAUGUUACUAGCACCAUCAUAUCCUUGCUUAAUCCAUGUCUAGCUAAUAUUGUGUCGAGUGAUGCUUUGAGAGAGACAGCUUUGGUAUCAAUAACAUGUUCAAUACCAUAAAACGCUCAACCACAUGUCCUCUUUUAUCCACAUAACGCAACACAGCUGCCAUUUGGUCUUUUGUGGAUAUGUCACGAGAUUCAUCAAUCAUAACAGAAAAUAAAGAGUCACCAAUUUCUUUAAUGAUAGCUCUAGAAAUUUCAGCUGAACAAACACUUACAAUUUGUUUCUGAAUAUCAGGGGAUGUCAUUUGGAGAUUUGUUGGAGCAUUGUUGAAAAUAACACCUUUAAUUUUCUCAUUGUGAUCAGCAAGAAAUUGUAAAAGCUCAAGAAAGUUUCCUCUACUAUUUGAGCUUUGAGAUUCAUUAUUACCACGAAAUGCAAGGCCUUGUCUCAAAAGAAAUCGAAUGCAGUCAAUUACAGCAGUUAAACAAAGUCGGUACUCCCUUUUUAAUUUUUUUAGAAUGGUUAAAGAAAAAUUUAGCAACAUGUGCCUUUUGAUUCAUUAAUGAUUCACAACGACGCCUAGCUAUAUUAUGAGCACUAUUUACACCACCAAUAUGUUGUCUCAACAUUUCUUUUUUCUUCCAAUUUCUAAACCAUUCACCAAUAAAGCAUGGACCAACCCCUUGACUACCAUUUUCUUCUCUGAAAACAUAACAAUAAAGACAAAAAGUUGCCUCCUUUACUAUACUAUAUUCUAACCAAUCAAGAUAAUUAUCAAACCAACUCCGAACAAAUCGUCGUGAUUUUUCUCCUAACAACCUAGUAGGAAAAUCAUGGCCCUGAGGUUGAAAAGGACCUAUUUACAAAUAUGCUCUUCGAACUUCAUCUUGAAUAUUAGAAUCUAACUUUGAAAUUGCUGUUCGUAAACCGGGAUCCCUUGGAAGAUCAUGCAAAUUAAGACUAACUUUUUCUUUUGAAUUGCCACUCAUUUUUCCUAAUGAGGUUGCAGUUGCUGAAUUCUUUCUUAAAUAUUUAUCCAUGACUGUUCAAAGAAAUAUAUUUAUCGAAUAAGUAUGAUAUUUAUCAUUCAAAGAAAAAUUUCUUCAUAAAAAAUAUACAUGAAAAUUACAGUUACAGAACUAGACAAAAUAUUAUAGGUCUUCAUUAAAAUUUCAUUGUAUAGUGUACUAAUCUUAAUAAAUUAAUUUGUUCUUAAAUCUUUUAAUAAUGGCAAAAAUAUUCAUCUAUGGCAACACAAAAAUCAAACAUGAAUAUAUAAUAAAAUUAGCAAUUUUAAAAUGUAAAAAACAAUGAAAUAAUAAAAACUUAGGAUUAAUAAACUUACAAUUUUAAAACAUCAAGCGACACAAAUGAAGAAAUUGAGAAGAAAUUCACGCACUGGUGACAACUAAUAAGCACUGCAAAUUGCCUAAUCUGCUAUGGAUUCCACCCACCACACUUUAUUCCAUGGAAGAGACGAAAGAAAGAGUAAAG
This 2736-nucleotide long non-coding RNA is filed under the name Citrus sinensis (sweet orange). RNAcentral's name for it is "long non-coding RNA (CSIN_LNC001033)". Lineage: Eukaryota; Viridiplantae; Streptophyta; Magnoliopsida; Sapindales; Rutaceae. The record is from RNAcentral.